GGCCGUGUGGCGUAAUGGCAGCGCGUCUGACUACGAAUCAGGAGGCUGCAGGUUCGACCCCUGCCUCGGUCA
This 72-nucleotide transfer RNA is filed under the name Hirsutella minnesotensis 3608. RNAcentral describes it as "tRNA-Arg (ACG) (tRNA-Arg-ACG-2-1)". It matches the Rfam family "tRNA". Rfam says of the family: Transfer RNA (tRNA) molecules are approximately 80 nucleotides in length. Their secondary structure includes four short double-helical elements and three loops (D, anti-codon, and T loops). Further hydrogen bonds mediate the characteristic L-shaped molecular structure. tRNAs have two regions of fundamental functional importance: the anti-codon, which is responsible for specific mRNA codon recognition, and the 3' end, to which the tRNAs corresponding amino acid is attached (by aminoacyl-tRNA synthetases). tRNAs cope with the degeneracy of the genetic code in two manners: having more than one tRNA (with a specific anti-codon) for a particular amino acid; and 'wobble' base-pairing, i.e. permitting non-standard base-pairing at the 3rd anti-codon position. The record is from RNAcentral. Lineage: Eukaryota; Fungi; Ascomycota; Sordariomycetes; Hypocreales; Ophiocordycipitaceae.